UGGGGAGUAUUGAGCUUUGUAGUCGAGCAGAUAACAGCACUAAGAUGCCCGCCUGGGGAGUACGGCCGAGAAGGUUAAAACUCAAAUGAAUUGACAGGGGGUCUGUCACAAGCCUAGGUGCAGCAGAUGGUUUCAUUCGAAGCAACGCGAAGAACCUUACCAGGCCUUGACAUCCAAUGAACUUUCCAGAGAUGGAUUGGUGCCUUCGGGAACAUUGAGACAGGUGCUGCAUGGCUGUCGUCAGCUCGUGUCGUGAGAUGUUGGGUUAAGUCCCGUAACGAGCGCAACCCUUGUCCUUAGUUACCAGCACGUUAAGGUGGGCACUCUAAGGAGACUGCCGGUGACAAACCGGAGGAAGGUGGGGAUGACGUCAAGUCAUCAUGACAUUUGUGUAC
Molecule: ribosomal RNA, 395 nt
Filed under: uncultured Pseudomonas sp.
Lineage: Bacteria; Pseudomonadati; Pseudomonadota; Gammaproteobacteria; Pseudomonadales; Pseudomonadaceae
Description: bacterial SSU rRNA
Rfam family: Bacterial small subunit ribosomal RNA
Source: RNAcentral